RNAcentral lists this ribosomal RNA (292 nucleotides) under uncultured bacterium. RNAcentral's name for it is "partial 16S ribosomal RNA". It matches the Rfam family "Bacterial small subunit ribosomal RNA", at positions 505 to 796 of the family's 1533-position model. The record is from RNAcentral.
GUGCCAGCAGCCGCGGUAAGACAGAGGUGCCGAGCGUUAGGCGGAAUCACUGGGCUUAAAGCGUGUGUAGGCAGGUCGUUAAGUGUCUUGUGAAAUCCCCCGGCUCAACCGGGGAAUGGCUGGGCAUACUGGCGAUCUUGAGCAAUCUAGGGGCAGAUGGAACAAGUGGUGGAGCGGUGAAAUGCGUAGAUAUCACUUGGAACGCCAAAGGUGAAAACAGUCUGCUGGGGAUUUGCUGACGCUGAGACACGAAAGCCAGGGGAGCGAACGGGAUUAGAUACCCCGGUAGUCC